RNAcentral lists this ribosomal RNA (917 nucleotides) under Pseudomonas sp. RNAcentral's name for it is "bacterial SSU rRNA". It matches the Rfam family "Bacterial small subunit ribosomal RNA", at positions 56 to 967 of the family's 1533-position model. Lineage: Bacteria; Pseudomonadati; Pseudomonadota; Gammaproteobacteria; Pseudomonadales; Pseudomonadaceae. The record is from RNAcentral.
UGCACGUCGAGCGGAUGAAGGAGCUUGCUCCUGGAUUCAGCGGCGGACGGGUGAGUAAUGCCUAGGAAUCUGCCUGGUAGUGGGGGACAACGUUUCGAAAGGAACGCUAAUACCGCAUACGUCCUACGGGAGAAAGCAGGGGACCUUCGGGCCUUGCGCUAUCAGAUGAGCCUAGGUCGGAUUAGCUAGUUGGUGAGGUAAUGGCUCACCAAGGCGACGAUCCGUAACUGGUCUGAGAGGAUGAUCAGUCACACUGGAACUGAGACACGGUCCAGACUCCUACGGGAGGCAGCAGUGGGGAAUAUUGGACAAUGGGCGAAAGCCUGAUCCAGCCAUGCCGCGUGUGUGAAGAAGGUCUUCGGAUUGUAAAGCACUUUAAGUUGGGAGGAAGGGUUGUAGAUUAAUACUCUGCAAUUUUGACGUUACCGACAGAAUAAGCACCGGCUAACUCUGUGCCAGCAGCCGCGGUAAUACAGAGGGUGCAAGCGUUAAUCGGAAUUACUGGGCGUAAAGCGCGCGUAGGUGGUUCGUUAAGUUGGAUGUGAAAUCCCCGGGCUCAACCUGGGAACUGCAUUCAAAACUGUCGAGCUAGAGUAUGGUAGAGGGUGGUGGAAUUUCCUGUGUAGCGGUGAAAUGCGUAGAUAUAGGAAGGAACACCUGUGGCGAAGGCGACCACCUGGACUGAUACUGACACUGAGGUGCGAAAGCGUGGGGAGCAAACAGGAUUAGAUACCCUGGUAGUCCACGCCGUAAACGAUGUCAACUAGCCGUUGGGAGCCUUGAGCUCUUAGUGGCGCAGCUAACGCAUUAAGUUGACCGCCUGGGGAGUACGGCCGCAAGGUUAAAACUCAAAUGAAUUGACGGGGGCCCGCACAAUCCGUGGGAUCAUGUGUUUUUAUUUCUGAUCAUCGCGAAGA